CUAACUGAGUGAGGGAGGUCAUUCCACCACUGAGGGGCAAUGGCGGAGAAGAGGCGUGGUUGGGAGGAGCGGCUGCCGGGUUCCCGAAGUGAGCCAAGGACCGCGAAAAGCUCUGUGUGAAGUUUAGCAGGUAGAGGGUCAAGGAGGUAAGAGGCUGGUUGUGAAGUUUAGCAGGUGGAGGGUCAAGGAGGUAAGAGGCUGGUUUAGCAGAGUGCACCAAUUUGGACAGCACGUUUAGAGGGAUAGGGUUAAAUUGAAUUAAAGGGUGCACAUUAAUCUCAGGUGCAGUGACGGAGAGCGUGCAGGCAGUCUGAUUUGAUCAUCAAACCCCCCAACAGAACUAACACACUACAGCAAAUAAUUAUAGCACCAUAAACUACAAUUUAAACAAUGUAAACACUGUAUAGUAGCAACAAACGACUGGGAAAAAGCGGAGAGGGAAGGAGAGACAGAGCUGUUUAAAUCAUCAGUGGGUUUGUUACAUUUAACAGCACAAAUGAAAACUAUCAAUAAAGGGAUUUCACGUUUGAUUUUACACUUAUAAUUUACACUUAUAAUUUUAAACUUAGCCAAAACAAAAACACACAAGCAGAUUUUCAUAAAUUCAUUAUGACAUAUUUGCAUUAUUAACUGUUCCGACCAGAUCAGAGUAAUAUGUGUCUAUUUCACGUGGUAUUAUUUCGUCAGCCUUAAGGUGAAUGUUAGUUUUGAGGAGCACUGUGUAAAUAUAGUCUCUAAUCCAGUGUGAUUUACUGACUGCUGUUAUACUGUGUUCGCAUUCUCAAAUCUGAUCUUAUAAAAUCUGAGUUGUUAAAACUAAA
Chanos chanos (milkfish) is the source of this 821-nucleotide long non-coding RNA. RefSeq lists it as uncharacterized. The transcript is spliced from 2 exons. The record is from RefSeq and is a predicted model, not a curated record. NCBI's taxonomy places the organism in Eukaryota, Metazoa, Chordata, Actinopteri, Gonorynchiformes, Chanidae.